Molecule: non-coding RNA, 1453 nt
Organism: Elaeis guineensis (African oil palm)
Lineage: Eukaryota; Viridiplantae; Streptophyta; Magnoliopsida; Arecales; Arecaceae
Source: RefSeq, a predicted model, not a curated record
GGAUAGCACAAUGAUCGCUUCCAAAUUUGUGCAGGCGGAUGAUUGAAGAGUUUGGAUUGCUUGGAUGGCCGUGUUGUGAGCGAUCCAACGGUCGAUGACGCGAAAGAAGAUGGAUCAUUCUUUCGCGCGAAAUAUACAACUCGGACCCGGAGCUCCCCUACCUACGGAGUAAGAUUCGUAACUCCGCUUACCAUCCCCACCGCGAGCCCAUCCUUCCAUCUCUUUCCUCCGCUCCUUGGCGGAAUCCCGAAAUCUUUAUUCAUGGCCGCCACCACAAGGACUCCGCUACCGCGCCCUGCCGACACGCCACCGGAAUUGUCUCCGUUACAUUCUCGCCGAUACGCCCGAAGCCCCGCCCUCCUCCUCUCCCUUUCCUCCUCUACAAAACCCUUCCCGAAGCUCGAGAUUUCGAUUGGGAGACGUCGGGCGAGCUGCUUCGUCACGAGAUCCGGCACGGCGAUGGGGGAACAUACCGUCGCCGGCGAGAGGAUGCUGGUGAUGGUUCCGCCACAUCCAUUGAUCAAGCACUGGAUCUCUGUACUCAGGAACGAGCAGACCCCGUGUGCCAUCUUUAAGAGCGCCAUGGCAGAACUUGGGAGAUUACUCAUAUAUGAAGCUUCAAGAGAUUGGUUGCCUACAAUUAUGGGAGAGAUCCAGUCACCAAUUGGUUCUGCUACUGUGGAAUUUAUCGAUCCACGUGAGCCUGUGGCGGUCAUUCCCAUCUUGAGAGCUGGUCUUGCUCUAGCUGAGCAUGCUCCAUCAGUUUUGCCAGCAACAAAAACUUACCACCUGGGCGUGUGCAGGGAUGAGGAAACGCUACAGCCCUCUGUAUAUCUGAACAAUGUGGCAGUAUCAUGCAUUAUCCUGUCAAAUUUGGCAGUGGGUGGUUUUGCAAAUAAUCGCGCUUGCCUGAUAGAUUUCCAGAGGGAUCUCGUAUACUUGUUGUUGACCCUAUGCUUGCAACCGGUGGCACAAUAGUUGCAGCUAUUGAGUUGUUGAAGGAUCGUGGUGUUGAUAGCAAGCAAAUAAAAGUUAUAUCUGCCGUUGCUUCCCCGCCAGCAUUGCAGAAGCUCAGCGAGAAGUUCUCGGGGCUUCGUGUAUAUGCAGGAAUAAUAGACCCAGUUCUGAAUGAGAAAGGGUUCAUAGUCCCAGGGUUGGGAGAUGCAGGGGACCGCAGCUUUGGUACCUGAGACCAUGCAUGCCUUCGAUGUAGCUUCUUUUUUCUUCCCAAAAAAUCAGACUUUGAGCAUGGCUUCAGCCAGUUUUUAACGCUGAGCAUUAAUUUGCAAAAUCUUUGUCGGUGCUCUUUUGGUGAUUCUUGUUGGUUAUCUUUGGUCUCAGUCGAAUUUUUCCCCUCAAUCACCUCUUAAGGUGGCAUGUAAAAAUUUGCUUGCAGACUGCUUGGAAUGUGAUUCCUUAUUUGCCAUUUAUGAGAUAUGAGUUGUUUUAGGGA